RNAcentral lists this ribosomal RNA (253 nucleotides) under uncultured bacterium. RNAcentral describes it as "partial 16S ribosomal RNA". It matches the Rfam family "Bacterial small subunit ribosomal RNA", at positions 524 to 776 of the family's 1533-position model. The record is from RNAcentral.
UACGGAGGGUGCAGGCGUUAAUCGGAAUUACUGGGCGUAAAGCGCACGCAGGCGGUUUAUUAAGUCAGAUGUGAAAUCCCCGGGCUCAACCUGGGAACUGCAUUUGAAACUGGCAAGCUAGAGUCUGGUAGAGGGGGGUAGAAUUCCAGGUGUAGCGGUGAAAUGCGUAGAGAUCUGGAGGAAUACCGGUGGCGAAGGCGGCCCCCUGGACCAAGACUGACGCUCAGGUACGAAAGCGUGGGGAGCAAACAGG